Molecule: ribosomal RNA, 969 nt
Filed under: Lactiplantibacillus plantarum
Lineage: Bacteria; Bacillati; Bacillota; Bacilli; Lactobacillales; Lactobacillaceae
Description: bacterial SSU rRNA
Rfam family: Bacterial small subunit ribosomal RNA
Source: RNAcentral
CGAGCUCUGGUAUUGAUUGGUGCUUGCAUCAUGAUUUACAUUUGAGUGAGUGGCGAACUGGUGAGUAACACGUGGGAAACCUGCCCAGAAGCGGGGGAUAACACCUGGAAACAGAUGCUAAUACCGCAUAACAACUUGGACCGCAUGGUCCGAGUUUGAAAGAUGGCUUCGGCUAUCACUUUUGGAUGGUCCCGCGGCGUAUUAGCUAGAUGGUGAGGUAACGGCUCACCAUGGCAAUGAUACGUAGCCGACCUGAGAGGGUAAUCGGCCACAUUGGGACUGAGACACGGCCCAAACUCCUACGGGAGGCAGCAGUAGGGAAUCUUCCACAAUGGACGAAAGUCUGAUGGAGCAACGCCGCGUGAGUGAAGAAGGGUUUCGGCUCGUAAAACUCUGUUGUUAAAGAAGAACAUAUCUGAGAGUAACUGUUCAGGUAUUGACGGUAUUUAACCAGAAAGCCACGGCUAACUACGUGCCAGCAGCCGCGGUAAUACGUAGGUGGCAAGCGUUGUCCGGAUUUAUUGGGCGUAAAGCGAGCGCAGGCGGUUUUUUAAGUCUGAUGUGAAAGCCUUCGGCUCAACCGAAGAAGUGCAUCGGAAACUGGGAAACUUGAGUGCAGAAGAGGACAGUGGAACUCCAUGUGUAGCGGUGAAAUGCGUAGAUAUAUGGAAGAACACCAGUGGCGAAGGCGGCUGUCUGGUCUGUAACUGACGCUGAGGCUCGAAAGUAUGGGUAGCAAACAGGAUUAGAUACCCUGGUAGUCCAUACCGUAAACGAUGAAUGCUAAGUGUUGGAGGGUUUCCGCCCUUCAGUGCUGCAGCUAACGCAUUAAGCAUUCCGCCUGGGGAGUACGGCCGCAAGGCUGAAACUCAAAGGAAUUGACGGGGGCCCGCACAAGCGGUGGAGCAUGUGGUUUAAUUCGAAGCUACGCGAAGAACCUUACCAGGUCUUGACAUACUAUGCAAAUCU